CCUACGGGUGGCAGCAGUGGGGAAUAUUGGACAAUGGGCGAAACCCUGAUGCAGCGACGCCGCGUGAGUGAAGAAGUAUUUCGGUAUGUAAAGCUCUAUCAUCAGGGACGAAACAAGACGGUACCUGACUAAGAAGCGCCAGCUAACUACGUGCCAGCAGCCGCGGUAAUACGUAGGGGGCAAGCGUUAUCCGGAAUCACUGGGUGUAAAGGGAGCGUAGACGGCUGUGCAAGCCUGAAGUGAAAGGCGGGGGCUCAACCCCUGGACUGCUUUGGGAACUGUGCGGCUGGAGUGCAGGAGAGGUAAGUGGAAUUCCGAGUGUAGCGGUGAAAUGCGUAGAUAUUAGGAGGAACACCAGUGGCGAAGGCGGAUUGCUGGACUGUAACUGACGUUGAGGCUCGAAAGCGUGGGGAGCAAACAGGAUUAGAUACCCCAGUAGUC
This 441-nucleotide ribosomal RNA is filed under the name uncultured bacterium. RNAcentral's name for it is "partial 16S ribosomal RNA". It matches the Rfam family "Bacterial small subunit ribosomal RNA", at positions 338 to 795 of the family's 1533-position model. The record is from RNAcentral.